UCGCUACUACCGAUUGAAUGGUUUAGUGAGGUCUCUGGAUUACUGAGUUGCAGCUGGCAACAGCAGUGACUUGGUGAGAAGUUGAUCAAACUUGAUCAUUUAGAGAUAGUAA
Molecule: ribosomal RNA, 112 nt
Filed under: uncultured eukaryote
Lineage: Eukaryota
Description: partial small subunit ribosomal RNA
Rfam family: Eukaryotic small subunit ribosomal RNA
Source: RNAcentral